Molecule: long non-coding RNA, 820 nt
Organism: Dreissena polymorpha
Lineage: Eukaryota; Metazoa; Mollusca; Bivalvia; Myida; Dreissenidae
Exons: 3
Source: RefSeq, a predicted model, not a curated record
GCUCGUUCUAAAUCGUUCAUGGAAGACAUGCUGACAUAAUCGAUAUUUCGGUUGUGCAAUGAUAACUAUAUUUUUUAUUAUCUCUGCCAAGUCACCCUAAUCGAUUGUUGUAUUGAUUUAAGUAUCUGCGACUUAGAAAUUUCCUCAUUGAAUGCCCCGAUUCGUGCUUGAAAACUGAAAUACGGCGAUUGUACGAGAACUCAAGGGAGCUGUGUGCAAGCGAAAACCGUAGGUUUACGUAUGGCUGCACAUUUGACUAGAGUGAAAGGUGAAGAUAAAAAGAAUGACGACAGUAAUGAGCUUGAGAAUGAAUCAAAAGAUCCAAAAGAGGACUCGGGAGAAAUUUACAAAGAAAAGGCAAAAACGGAAGAUACAUGUUGUACAGGUACAAGACCGAAGACAAUCACCAAUGGUCUAGGUACAUAAAUAUUAUAAAUCAGCAAAUUAAUUACUAUAUUUACGGUAUAAUUCGUGUUAUUUUAUUAAAUGCAAUGCGCUCGGAAUGUUGAUAUUACUAGUCCGCGCCUCCGACAAGAACAGUCCUUAAAACUACUUGUUUGUUUUACGUUAUGUAGUUUCAGAAAACGAACGUCGUGGAAAACAGCAACACUUCAAAAAGAACAAAGUACAUACCUUUUUACGUUUGGAUAAACUUCGACGAUCAAAAAGCGAAUCGGAAUUGCAAAGACCAUUUACGAACAAAAUACAACCUGUUGCAAAAAAAAGAGAAGGUUCGUGUGGGGCUUUAAAUGACAACAAUCAUGAUGACGGUGAUGUAUAUGAACAUAAAGCUGACGCUGACAAUGAAGCGGAAGUUAAU